This is a non-coding RNA of Odocoileus virginianus texanus, 3941 nucleotides long. Lineage: Eukaryota; Metazoa; Chordata; Mammalia; Artiodactyla; Cervidae. The record is from RefSeq and is a predicted model, not a curated record.
AUCAACAUAUAUUGAAUGCUAGCUGGAUGCACCUGGGGCCUUGGCGUUGAGGGUAUGAGGAUGUGGACACAGUCCUGACCCUGCAGAGGUGGCCACCCUCAUGGAGAAGGCAGCUCUGCAGGUGGUCCUAUGGACACAGAACUGCUAGACACUUCUUCAUUCCCUCCACUACCGUCCAACCCCUGGGUCCUCCCAAAGCUGAGUGAUUUGGAUGCCCAGGUAAGGAUAAAGCGGGAUCAGGAUUUUGAAUUUGGCAUUGCAGAGACAGAGGAGGCAGUGGAGAGUCACCCACUGUGGCUUGGAGUAAAGAGUGUGUGUAAAUAAUGUUAGAGGAAGGAGGGAGCCUUUGGGGCACGUCCUAGCCUAUGGGAACGAGCAGAGUGUUCUGCAUCUCUGAGUGUUUGCCUAGCAGUUCCUGCCACAAAAAUGCCCUUCUUUCCUCCUUGACCUGGCGAGGAGGACUCCAUGUGGGGGAGUUUAAGGUGAAUUAGAGAAGGGACAGGCUUAGAAAGGCUGGCUGGGCUCAGUCAUUUGGGGACUUGUUGGCCAUAUUAAGGAUUUGGACUUAAUUCUUUUUUUUUUUAAUCCACGAGGAAAUUUAUUUUAUUAUUAUUUUUUAAAUUGGAGGAUAAUUGCUUUACAAUGUUGCACUGGUUUCUGCCGUACAACAAUGCGACUCAGUCAUGAGAAUAUAUGUAUCCCCUCUCUUGAGCCUCCCUACCAUCCCCCCACACCCUACCAUCCCACCCUCUAGGGCAUCCCAGAGUGCAGGCUGGGCUCCUCGUGUUACAGAGCAGCUUCCCACAAGCUAUUUUGCACAUAGUAGCGUAUACAUGUCAUUAUUCUGAGGGCAGUAGGGCAUCUGUGAAGGGCUUUAAGCUGGCGAGUACCAGGAUUGUGGGCUGAAGGUCUCCACCAUCAAGCGCUCCGGCUGCUGUGUUUGGGGCGGGCUUGGGAGGAAUGAGACCGGAGGCAGAACAGAGCUGAGGUCUGAGCUCAGCUUGCUGCAGGGGGAUUCAGAGAAGCAACAGGUUCAGCCCAUCUCAGACAGGUGAGGCCAUCCUUUACCUGGGACCCUCCUGAAUCUGAGAAUCUAGAGUCAGGGACGAGGGGAGGAGCUGAGAGCCUUGGGGAACCCCAGUGCUCUGAAAUGCCCGUGUCCAACCACAGGGCCCCAGGCUACCACGGGGACCGUGGCUUUUGUCCUGCAGAGAAGCACUUUGCUGGAAGCAAGAAGUGAAAGCUGGGGCUAUGCCUCAAUCCCGUUAGAUGUCCAUUGAUUAUGUCCAUGACCCUAACAGCCUCCUGCCCCUGAUGUGCUGUGUGACCUCUCCCCGGGGCUGACUCUGGGUGCCUGUGGGUGGGGGGUCACCUUACUUUGCCAUCCCAGUUGCUCAGCCUGGGACCACACAUAUGAUAGAAACACAAACAACCAUGGUGGGUGCUUGGCACACAUCGCUUAGUUGUGUGUGUGUGUGUGUGUGUGAGUUUUCAUGAAAAGAAACAGCUGUCUGGCAGAACCCACUUAGGCAAAGCAAGAUGCUGCCCUAGCAUCCCAGGCACUGAGAUCUACCUGCCAAUGGUCUGGACCAUGUGUCGGUGGUUUUGCCCAAGGAUGAGGCAGCUGGCACUCCUUGCUGUGUUGGCAUCCAGGUGUGUAUGAUAUUGGCGUGGCAUCAAGGCUGGGGUGGUUUGUGAGUCUAAGACUUGGAAGUAGCAGAGGAAGGAAAAGAAGAGACCUCUUGAGCAGGCCAGCCCUGUACUAGGGGUUCUAACAUCCAUAAAAGCACUUAAUUCUUACUCAGCUCAGUCUGGGUGAAUAACGACCCCAGUGGGGAGAAAGAUCUGCAGAGGAGGAGUGACUAGUUCAUGGUCACCAUGGUGGUAAAGGGAGGUAUAAGGAAUGUGAGCAGGUCGGUGCAAGGCCUCACCUGGAAGGCCUUUUUUAAAUUUUAUAUUGGAGUAUAGUUGAUUUACAAUGUUGUGUGAGUUUCAGUGUACAGCAAAGUGAUUCAGUUACACAUAUAUUCAUCCUUUUACAGGUUCUUUUCUCAUAAAGGUUAUUGCAGAAUAUUGAGUGGAGUUCCUCGAGCUAUACAGGAAACCCAGGAGGCCACAGUUUUUCUACAGACAAGAGGCAGGCAGAGGACCUAGAUCAAGGGCUCUUCUGGGAAGUCCCCAUAGGAUCCUGCUCCGCUACACUUUCUGUCAAGACAUGCAAAUAUAAAUAACUCAAAUGCAACUAAAAAACUGUAAGUAUUUUUCAAGUGGAACCUCACGACUCAACAACUUUGUUCUACAAAAACAUGCAUUAUCCAAUAAUACUGCUGCACCCCAAAGCGGGACUUUACAAAGGACCUUACAGGUGGCAGUGUUGCUGAGUUCAAGCUUGUAAUAUUUGCUGCAGGACAGGCCAAAAAAUCCAGAGACAAGUUGCUGGAGUAAGGAACAGCAACUUUAUCCAGAAAGCCAGCAAGACGGAGAAGAUGGUAGCGUCCCAAAACACCAGCUUGCCCUCAGUUAGAAUUCUGGCUUCUUUUAUACUAAAAGGGGAGGGGGUAAUUUCAAACAUUUUGUGGUUCUGGUCAAACUCCUGAGGGGGUAUACUAAUUUCUUCUUUCCUGCAGCCAUUCACAGGUGAUGCUAAACAAAGGUAUUUUAGCAUAACACUCAUCUGGGAGGCAGGUUUCCCAGAAAUGGGCCAUUAUGUAUAAUUUAAGCUUAUAGGCAACAUCCCUUUAGUAUUAACCUGUAAUAGAAUGCAAAGAUUCUUCCCUAUUACAGUAGUUUGCUGACCCCUGCUUGAGUGCAGCACUAAUAGAACUUUUUGCUAAAAGCAACCAUAGGCAGUACACAAAUGAAUAAUAAGCACGGCUGUGUUCCAAUAAAACUUUAUUUAAAAAGAAAGCAGGCAGUGGGCCACGUUUGGCCCACAGGCUGUAGUUUGAGCAGUGCUAGUAGAUUUUUCUGUGUUAAUGAAAAUGGUCUAUAUCUGUGCUGUCCAAUAUGGCAGCCACUAACCACAUAAAGCCCCUGAGCACUUGAAAUGUGGUUAGUGUGACUAAAGACUCAGUUUCUAAAUUCUGUAUUUAAAUGACUAGAGGUACCCUGCCCAACAGCAAGGAGAGAGAAGGCUCCAGUGGAGGGCCACUCCUCAGCCGCCUCCCUACACAGGGUGAAGCCUCUUUGAGCUUCCUUGUGGAUAAGAAGGGGAUAAAACAGUAGCUACAUCACCAGGCUUUCCCCAUGGCACUGACACUGAAACUGGACCUGAGCCAGGAGUGAAUAUGUGGUCAAGAUCCCCCAGCUCCCUGGGCUGAUGGGGGCAGAUGGGAAAGCAGCCCCUCCUUUCCAUUCAGCACUGAAGUUCCUGCAAAGGAGGGUGGGAGAUGAUGCUGUCACUCUCCACGAAGUCCCUCCUCUGAGAAGCCAGUCAUCUGUGGCCCUGAGCCACCCCUCCCCUCAACCUCCCAUCAGCCAGCAGCCCUGUCUUACGUGUCCAGGUGCCAUUUGAGAAUUCAGGCUUGUGGAAAAGACCCAGGAGACAAACCACACCCCCACCGUGUGAAAAGCAUCGCCUCAGCGGCUGUCUCAGGGGGCCUUGGCAACUGGCCGUGGGCAGGAAGUGCCUCUUGGCUAGAGAAGUCAUUUAUGGAGCUAUUCAGGGAGGUGAUACAGGGAAGGGCCUUCCAGGAAGAGGGAACGGCAGGUGCAAAGGCACGGUGGUGGGACCAGAGUCAGAGUCUUACUGGGUGGUGGGUUUGGCUCCUGAAGAAAUAGAGGGAUCAAUUUCCAGGCAGAGGGUGACAAGCAAAACACAGAGAGCCCUGGCUUCAACAGGGGCAGGGACAGUCCAGUGACAAGGGCAGGUGAUGGUCCUACUCGCCAGCUUGGUUACCUUGGGAGUGGAGUUUUUUUUUUUUUAAUAUUUAUUUGACUGU